ACCCUUGUAGCUCAGCGGAUCGAGAGCGCCUGGCUACGAACCAGGAGGACGGGAGUUCGAUUCUCUCCGAGGGUGCCA
This 78-nucleotide transfer RNA is filed under the name Usitatibacter rugosus. RNAcentral describes it as "Nitrosomonadales bacterium 0125_3 tRNA-Arg". It matches the Rfam family "tRNA". Rfam says of the family: Transfer RNA (tRNA) molecules are approximately 80 nucleotides in length. Their secondary structure includes four short double-helical elements and three loops (D, anti-codon, and T loops). Lineage: Bacteria; Pseudomonadati; Pseudomonadota; Betaproteobacteria; Nitrosomonadales; Usitatibacteraceae. The record is from RNAcentral.